Long non-coding RNA from Hemicordylus capensis (graceful crag lizard), 1196 nucleotides. RefSeq lists it as uncharacterized. Lineage: Eukaryota; Metazoa; Chordata; Lepidosauria; Squamata; Cordylidae. The record is from RefSeq and is a predicted model, not a curated record. The transcript is spliced from 3 exons.
CCUGGCGGCGGUUUACAGGGCAUAGGGCUGCCUGCCGGGCUGGCUUGGAGAGGGCGGGGCGGAGGGGGAGCCCGCCCUGCGGGAGAGGGCGCAAAGGGUUGCGCAGAAGGAAGAAGCAGUACCGGCGGCGGCGGCGGCUGCCUCGGGGCGGGGCAGAAGGAAGGCAGGCGGGACUAGUAGUAGGCCGCUCAACCCCACGUUAGCAUAAAGCAGCCCAGGGUUUUCUCCAACCAGUUGUUUGCUUGCCUCAACCCAAACCUCCAUCAUUCACACCAGCACUUGGCAGUUGGCUACUUAGUGCUAAAGUCUCCCCACGGUCAGCUGUGAAUAAAGGAAUCCUGCACCUAGAAAGGUUGGCGGUGGGCGCCAAUGUGGAAGGCAGCCAUGCUCCCGCCCCAUGCCCCUUCUUCCUCUCCAGAGUAGCUCCCUCCAUCCCUUCUUCUGUCGGCAGCACUGCCUCCACUUCUCCCGGUCCUUACGAUCUCAGCCCCUCCCCUCUUCACCCCAUGAACGCCCAUUUGCUGCUAGCACCUGCGUUCACACUGUCACACCACCUGAAAAUACCACAAUAUGUUUAGCCACACACACAGCCCACUAGUUUCCUCUAUUCUCACAAUUUACACAUUUCCGGGAUAUGCAAUGCUAUGCACACAACAAGUACUUGGGAGUAAGUCCCGAUGAGUUAAUUAAGUCUUCUUUACUUGGACUAAUCUGUAUAUAAAUGGCUGCAAUUCUGUGCAACAUUUGCUUGAGAGAAUCCUUCAUCAGAUUUGAAAAUUAAACCAUAGAAGUCACAAACUGGUCCAAAGAACAUACGCAGCUGAGUCGGUGAACCAGCAGAAGAGCUUUGCUUUGGGAACAAUAUGGCAGUUCAGUUGCUGGCAUUCUUCCUGGGAUGACCUGUUCACCCAUGCAAGUCAAAUGAUGAACAUACAUUGCAAGUUGAUCCAGAAUGGGAAUGGAGAGGUGUAGCAGAAUGCACAUCCCAUUGCAAGUAACAGUGUGAACAGAUGAUGUCCAAUGGCACAUCCGGUUAAUGCCCAUGACUCCCAAACCAGCAAGUGAUACACACACAAAUCUUAACAUAAUCAGAAGAAUAUUUAUCAAGGGAUGUAAUAAAAAUCUAUUAUUUAUCAAGAGGUGUAAUCAAGUGUAAUAAAAUAAAACACAAAUAAAAAUAUACAUGUGUACCUGUU